RNAcentral lists this ribosomal RNA (464 nucleotides) under Vreelandella stevensii. Its description in RNAcentral is "partial 16S ribosomal RNA". It matches the Rfam family "Bacterial small subunit ribosomal RNA", at positions 338 to 794 of the family's 1533-position model. Lineage: Bacteria; Pseudomonadati; Pseudomonadota; Gammaproteobacteria; Oceanospirillales; Halomonadaceae. The record is from RNAcentral.
CCUACGGGGGGCUGCAGUGGGGAAUAUUGGACAAUGGGCGAAAGCCUGAUCCAGCCAUGCCGCGUGUGUGAAGAAGGCCUUCGGGUUGUAAAGCACUUUCAGUGGGGAAGAAAGCCUUGGGGCUAAUACCCUCGAGGAAGGACAUCACCCACAGAAGAAGCACCGGCUAACUCCGUGCCAGCAGCCGCGGUAAUACGGAGGGUGCGAGCGUUAAUCGGAAUUACUGGGCGUAAAGCGCGCGUAGGCGGUCUGAUAAGCCGGUUGUGAAAGCCCCGGGCUCAACCUGGGAACGGCAUCCGGAACUGUCAGGCUAGAGUGCAGGAGAGGAAGGUAGAAUUCCCGGUGUAGCGGUGAAAUGCGUAGAGAUCGGGAGGAAUACCAGUGGCGAAGGCGGCCUUCUGGACUGACACUGACGCUGAGGUGCGAAAGCGUGGGUAGCAAACAGGGUUAGAUACCCGAGUAUC